This 417-nucleotide ribosomal RNA is filed under the name uncultured microorganism. Its description in RNAcentral is "bacterial SSU rRNA". It matches the Rfam family "Bacterial small subunit ribosomal RNA", at positions 9 to 422 of the family's 1533-position model. The record is from RNAcentral.
GAGUUUGAUCUUGGCUCAGAUUGAACGCUGGCGGCAUGCCUUACACAUGCAAGUCGAACGGCAGCAUGAUCUAGCUUGCUAGAUUGAUGGCGAGUGGCGAACGGGUGAGUAAUACAUCGGAACGUGCCCUGUAGUGGGGGAUAACUAGUCGAAAGAUUAGCUAAUACCGCAUACGACCUGAGGGUGAAAGUGGGGGACCGCAAGGCCUCAUGCUAUAGGAGCGGCCGAUGUCUGAUUAGCUAGUUGGUGGGGUAAAGGCCCACCAAGGCGACGAUCAGUAGCUGGUCUGAGAGGACGAUCAGCCACACUGGGACUGAGACACGGCCCAGACUCCUACGGGAGGCAGCAGUGGGGAAUUUUGGACAAUGGGCGAAAGCCUGAUCCAGCAAUGCCGCGUGUGUGAAGAAGGCCUGGUGU